CAGUCGCCGCGGUAAUACGUAGGGUGCGAGCGUUAAUCGGAAUUACUGGGCGUAAAGCGUGCGCAGGCGGUUAUAUAAGACAGUUGUGAAAUCCCCGGGCUCAACCUGGGAACUGCAUCUGUGACUGUAUAGCUAGAGUACGGUAGAGGGGGAUGGAAUUCCGCGUGUAGCAGUGAAAUGCGUAGAUAUGCGGAGGAACACCGAUGGCGAAGGCAAUCCCCUGGACCAGUACUGACGCUCAUGCACGAAAGCGUGGGGAGCAAACAGGAUUAGAUACCCCUGUAGUCCCUGUCUCUUAUAC
RNAcentral lists this ribosomal RNA (301 nucleotides) under uncultured bacterium. RNAcentral's name for it is "partial 16S ribosomal RNA". It matches the Rfam family "Bacterial small subunit ribosomal RNA", at positions 509 to 807 of the family's 1533-position model. The record is from RNAcentral.